CGAGUAUGUCAUUCUAGUGUUCUCUGCCUUUGACGUGCCUUUUGGGCUGAGUUGUUGCGUUCGUCAGAAAACUUUGCAUCCGCCAAUGUCUACGCCUUUAUCAUCACGCGUCUGGAUUGGGCAGAAUAGUGCGUCAUGAGGAUGACUGCUUACGUCUGAAGGUAUAACUUGAGAUUCCGAGUUACAACAAUUGUUGUCAAAGUUAGCUUUUGAAUUUCUAGUAGCUGGUUUCCGCAUCGAGAAUAACUUUUGAAUUGUGGAAUACAGGUAGUCGGGCCUCCAGCUCUUCUCGUAUGAGGAUAAAGCUUAUUACUGCUUCAGAUACCAUCAAACAUGUGAAUAGGUCAUCCGCUAGUAGGGAGGUGAUGUCAGGUUCUUCUUCAAGUCCUUUAAUGCUUUCUCACACUCGUCGUCCUUUUUGUCUU
Molecule: long non-coding RNA, 425 nt
Filed under: Malus domestica (apple)
Lineage: Eukaryota; Viridiplantae; Streptophyta; Magnoliopsida; Rosales; Rosaceae
Description: long non-coding RNA (MDOM_LNC007636)
Source: RNAcentral